Molecule: ribosomal RNA, 493 nt
Filed under: uncultured Actinomycetes bacterium
Lineage: Bacteria; Bacillati; Actinomycetota; Actinomycetes
Description: bacterial SSU rRNA
Rfam family: Bacterial small subunit ribosomal RNA
Source: RNAcentral
UGGGGAAUAUUGCGCAAUGGGCGAAAGCCUGACGCAGCGACGCCGCGUGGGGGAUGACGGCCUUCGGGUUGUAAACCUCUUUCAGCAGGGACGAAGCGCAAGUGACGGUACCUGCAGAAGAAGCACCGGCCAACUACGUGCCAGCAGCCGCGGUAAUACGUAGGGUGCAAGCGUUGUCCGGAAUUAUUGGGCGUAAAGAGCUCGUAGGCGGUCUGUCGCGUCGGCUGUGAAAUCCCGAGGCUCAACCUCGGGUCUGCAGUCGAUACGGGCAAACUGGAGUGUUGCAGGGGAGACUGGAAUUCCUGGUGUAGCGGUGAAAUGCGCAGAUAUCAGGAGGAACACCGGUGGCGAAGGCGGGUCUCUGGGCAACAACUGACGCUGAGGAGCGAAAGCGUGGGGAGCGAACAGGAUUAGAUACCCUGGUAGUCCACGCCGUAAACGUUGGGCGCUAGGUGUGGGGCUCGAUUCCACGAGUUCCGUGCCGCAGCUAACG